UACGUAGGGGGCGAGCGUUGUACGAAGUUACUGGGUGUAAAGCGCGCGUAGGCGGGCUGAUAAGUCGGGAGUGAAAGGAUAGGGCUCAACCGGAGCAGUGCUUCCGAUACUGUCAGUCUUGAGGGCGGUAGAGAGGAGUGGAAUGGCUGGUGUAGCGGUGAAAUGCGUAGAUAUCAGUCGGAACACCGGUGGCGAAGGCGGCUUCUUGGGCCGUACCUGACGCUGAGGCGAGAAAGCCAGGGGAGCGAACGGG
Molecule: ribosomal RNA, 253 nt
Filed under: uncultured bacterium
Lineage: Bacteria
Description: partial 16S ribosomal RNA
Rfam family: Bacterial small subunit ribosomal RNA
Source: RNAcentral